AUAUGAACCGUUAUAACCGGCGAUUUCCGAAUGGGGAAACCCAGUGUGACUCGUCACACUAUCAUUAACUGAAUCCAUAGGUUAAUGAGGCGAACCGGGGGAACUGAAACAUCUAAGUACCCCGAGGAAAAGAAAUCAACCGAGAUUCCCCCAGUAGCGGCGAGCGAACGGGGAGGAGCCCAGAGCCUGAAUCAGCAUGUGUGUUAGUGGAAGCGUCUGGAAAGGCGCGCGAUACAGGGUGACAGCCCCGUACACAAAAGCGCAUGUGCUGUGAGCUCGAUGAGUAGGGCGGGACACGUGGUAUCCUGUCUGAAUAUGGGGGGACCAUCCUCCAAGGCUAAAUACUCCUGACUGACCGAUAGUGAACCAGUACCGUGAGGGAAAGGCGAAAAGAACCCCGGCGAGGGGAGUGAAAAAGAACCUGAAACCGUGUACGUACAAGCAGUGGGAGCCCCACCACUAAGCCAGUGGUGAACUCCACAUACGCAUCCUUUGCUGAGGAUACGGUUAACGGAGCGAAAGCGACGUUCAACCGCAAAAGAAGCAGAGGGGGCUUAGUGGUGGGGUGACUGCGUACCUUUUGUAUAAUGGGUCAGCGACUUAUAUUCUGUAGCAAGGUUAACCGAAUAGGGGAGCCGGAGGGAAACCGAGUCUUAAUUGGGCGUUAAGUUGCAGGGUAUAGACCCGAAACCCGGUGAUCUAGCCAUGGGCAGGUUGAAGGUUGGGUAACACUAACUGGAGGACCGAACCGACUAAUGUUGAAAAAUUAGCGGAUGACCUGUGGCUGGGGGUGAAAGGCCAAUCAAACCGGGAGAUAGCUGGUUCUCCCCGAAAGCUAUUUAGGUAGCGCCUCGUGAAUUCAUCUCCGGGGGUAGAGCACUGUUUCGGCUAGGGGGCCAUCCCGGCUUACCAACCCGAUGCAAACUGCGAAUACCGGAGAAUGUUAUCACGGGAGACACACGGCGGGUGCUAACGUCCGUCGUGAAGAGGGAAACAACCCAGACCGCCAGCUAAGGUCCCAAAGUCAUGGUUAAGUGGGAAACGAUGUGGGAAGGCCCAGACAGCCAGGAUGUUGGCUUAGAAGCAGCCAUCAUUUAAAGAAAGCGUAAUAGCUCACUGGUCGAGUCGGCCUGCGCGGAAGAUGUAACGGGGCUAAACCAUGCACCGAAGCUGCGGCAGCGAACGUAUCACCCAAGACAACUUUACGGAGUUGACGAUUGACGGAGCGAAGCGACGUCAAAGCGUUCAUUAAAGUCGAGUUGGCUUAGGGAUACGUUCGUUGGGUAGGGGAGCGUUCUGUAAGCCUGUGAAGGUGUGUCGUGAGGCAUGCUGGAGGUAUCAGAAGUGCGAAUGCUGACAUAAGUAACGAUAAAGCGGGUGAAAAGCCCGCUCGCCGGAAGACCAAGGGUUCCUGUCCAACGUUAAUCGGGGCAGGGUGAGUCGACCCCUAAGGCGAGGCCGAAAGGCGUAGUCGAUGGGAAACGGGUUAAUAUUCCCGUACUUGGUGUUACUGCGAAGGGGGGACGGAGAAGGCUAUGUUGGCCGGGCGACGGUUGUCCCGGUUUAAGCGUGUAGGUGUGUGUUCCAGGUAAAUCCGGUUCACUUUAACACUGAGGCGUGA
This 1621-nucleotide ribosomal RNA is filed under the name Salmonella enterica subsp. enterica serovar Heidelberg. RNAcentral describes it as "partial 23S ribosomal RNA". It matches the Rfam family "Bacterial large subunit ribosomal RNA", at positions 88 to 1566 of the family's 2925-position model. Lineage: Bacteria; Pseudomonadati; Pseudomonadota; Gammaproteobacteria; Enterobacterales; Enterobacteriaceae. The record is from RNAcentral.